GUGAAUACCUGACCAACGUUGCUUCGGCGGUGCGCCCCCCCCCGGGGGGGUAGCCGCCGGAGACCACAUUGAACCUCUUGUCUUUAGUGUUGUCUGAGCUUGAUAGCAAACCUAUUAAAACUUUCAACAAUGGAUCUCUUGGUUCCGGCAUCGAUGAAGAACGCAGCGAACUGCGAUAAGUAAUGUGAAUUGCAGAAUUCAGUGAAUCAUCGAGUCUUUGAACGCACAUUGCGCCCCCUGGCAUUCCGGGGGGCAUGCCUGUCCGAGCGUCAUUGCUGCCCUUCAAGCCCGGCUUGUGUGUUGGGUCGUCGUCCCCCCCCGGGGGACGGGCCCGAAAGGCAGCGGCGGCACCGCGUCCGGUCCUCGAGCGUAUGGGGCUUUGUCACCCGCUCGAUUAGGGCCGGCCGGGCGCCAGCCGGCGUCUCCAACCUUCUAUUU
This 438-nucleotide unclassified non-coding RNA is filed under the name Aspergillus thesauricus. RNAcentral describes it as "sequence contains 18S rRNA gene, ITS1, 5.8S rRNA gene, ITS2, 28S rRNA gene". The stretch from base 119 to 272 matches the Rfam family "5.8S ribosomal RNA". The record is from RNAcentral. Lineage: Eukaryota; Fungi; Ascomycota; Eurotiomycetes; Eurotiales; Aspergillaceae.